CUUUCCCCUUUUUCUUCCCCUUCGCGUUUGCAAAAUGCAGUUUUCUUUCUGGUUGUCGUUUCUCCUCCGUGUGCGUCUGUGUCGUCUUGUUGUCUCGUGGAAUUUGGAGGAGAAUUCGUCCUUCCAGCUGCUCUCGAGACAUGAUUGAGGUAAAGUUGACAGAAUCAUACGUGGCACCAAUUACCCCGGUCUGGGCCCGUCAGCUGGAGGAGAGCAGAGCCGGAGGAAGUCAAAAGGACGGCUGAGCGUCUCCUCUGUGGGGUCGGAGGCUGAUGCGCUGACGGGGACACACAUCUCUGAUCCGGAGAGUCACUGUGUGUGUGUGUGUGUGUGUGUGUCGCUGACAUUAAGCCGAUACGGAGGUCGACGUUACCACGUUAGCAUUGCCAUUUUUAGCUUUUAGCGUUGCCAUUCACAUAUACCUGUAACAUGUCAGACCGAACCCUACGAGAAAACAAGAGCAGAUUUGAAGUGUUGGAGAUUAUGGAAAUGUCUAAACUCAAACUGAUCAAAGUGCAAUGUUUGAAUUGGAUUCCGCCCUAACGUCCAUAAACACGAUGUUUUAUUACUGCUGCUGAGCUGAACUUUGGAGCGCCAUUACAGACCUCCCAUUGUCCACUACAGUGCUCCCAUCAAUUGUUUGCCAACAAAGCCAAUAAAAGAUUCAGUUUGCGGUUUCAGU
Gasterosteus aculeatus aculeatus (three-spined stickleback) is the source of this 682-nucleotide long non-coding RNA. RefSeq lists it as uncharacterized. Lineage: Eukaryota; Metazoa; Chordata; Actinopteri; Perciformes; Gasterosteidae. The record is from RefSeq and is a predicted model, not a curated record.